GUGUGUGCGCGUGCAGGAGGCUGUGAGGCGCCACAGCGCCAUUUUCUGUCUUUAAACGCUUUAAAAAUGGAGAUUUUUUGGUGAUUUUGUGUAAAUUUUGGCAGCUUUUAGUGAGUCUGUGCUGUUAAAAUCACUGUAGCGUCGAGUGUUUGUGUGUAUUCGGUACAUUAGUGAUGUUUAAAGCUUGUUGGUGCCUAAUGCUAACCGGUUAGCCUGUGGGAGUAGAAUGGUGAUGUAUGAUGGAGUGCAGUAGCUUUACAUGAUGGACAUUUCAGAAAACCUUCUCUGCUUUCUGGCUGUGGUGGUGAAAUCAUCUGCUGAACUGCUGCUGCCGUGGAGAGAAACAGAAAUAAAGACAAAAGCAUCAUAAGGUUGUCUCAAAGUUGGAAAAAGCAAGAACAGCUCCACGUACCAUGUGGAUGGAUUUCGUUGAAUUCCUCCUUACAGAAUUAACCUCGUUGGAUUUUGUUCAAUUUCUUUUAAAUGAAGUCCUAAGGAAAGGCUUCACUUGUUCACUCGAGAAACCUGCUGGUCAAACUAUUAAUCAUAUAAUCAUCUAGACAAUACACAGGCUGGUGCACAGCAGUUCAUCAAACCAGGCUGAUAUAAAGAUACGUUCUCGUCUGUCCCAGAAUAAAACUCCUCACGAAUGCAUGAACAGUCACGGAUUGGGAUACUACGUGCAGCCUUUCAUUGACAAUUGAUCAGGAUGAAUGGAGGGUCAACCUCAGUCUAGACCUUUCCUUGGAGAUGGUUCUUUUGACGAAGGUAUUUUGUUAAAUGCUGGUGUGAUGAUAGAUGUUAGAGUAGGAGAUCCGACAUGGGAUUAGAACUAUAUUAGACAUGCUAAUGUUGAGAAAGUGGUGCGAUCAGAAACCUGACUGAGAUCUUGCCCAUAUCAUCUGUUAAUGCAUGUGUGUUGACUUCACUUUCUUAGUAAACUCAACCGUGUUAUGAAAGAAAGAAAGAAAGAAAGAAAGAAAGAAAGAAAGAAAGAAAGAAAGAAAGAAGCUUAAUUCAUCACACACUUGUGAAAUUUCCUCUCUGCAUUUAACCCAUCUCAAGCAGUGAACACACACAUGCACACACAUGGGAGCAAUGAGCGCACACACAUACCCAGAGCAGUGAACAGCCAUGCUAACAGCACCUGGGGAGCAGUUGGGAGUUCGGUGCCUCGCUCAAGGGCACCUCAGCCCAAGGCCGUCCCAUAUUAACCUAACCGCAUGUCUUUGGACUGUGGGGGAAACCGGAACACCCAGAGGAAACCCACACAGACAUGGGGAGAACAUGCAAACUCCACACAGAAAGGGCCCCGCCGGCCACUGGGCUCGAACCCAGAACCUUCCUGCUCUGAGGCGACCAUGCUAACCACUACCACCGUGCCGCCAAUGUUCUGUUCAUAUCUGUGAGUUUUAUUCAGCGCUCCAGCCCUCUGCAGAAUAACUCAUAUACGGAAGCAAUGAGUGCCUCGCUGCAGUCGCCAUCAGUCCCGCCCAUGAGCCUGUCUCUCAGCCAGCUCUCCGUCAUGAAAAGAAUGUCAAAACUUUUGCAGUCUGCACGAAGCAACUGCUGAAGCUGUUUAACUGCUAAACUGCUCAAAGCAAACUGUGACACGUUGAGCGUAUGUUUGAACAGCUAACCAGGUUUCUGAAACAUAAAUAUGAGGGCAAGUCGAAAGUUCUCAGACAGAUGUUAUAAUUUCAAAAGGUGUGAAAAACAUCUCAUCUCAUUAUCUCUAGCCACUUUAUCCUGUUCUACAGGGUCGCAGGCAAGCUGGAGCCUAUCCCAGCUGACUACGGGCGAAAGGUGGGGUACACCCUGGACAAGUCGCCAGGUCAUCACAGGGCCUACACAUAGACAACCAUUCACACUCACAUUCACGCCUACGGUCAAUUUAGAGUCACCAGUUAACCUAACCUGCAUGUCUUUGGACUGUGGGGGAAACCGGAGCACCCGGAGGAAACCCACGCGGACACGGGGAGAACAUGCAAACUCCACACAGAAAGGCCCUCGCCGGCCAUGGGGCUCGAACCCAGACCUUCUUGCUGUGAGGCGAUAGUGCUAACCACUACACCACCGUGCCGCCUGUGAAAAACAUCCCCCAGAAUUCUACAAAGAAGGAAUUCUCUGAUGGAAACACCACUUGCAGAAGGGUUUAGACUUAAAUGGAGGAUAUGUCGAGAAAUAACUUUAUUUUCAUGAACAAAGAUUUUUUUUCAGCUUGUCUUAAAACUUUUUGACUUCCCCUCGUAUUAAAAUUUUAAUCUGCUUCUGAUCUCUCCAAAGUAACAGGUGUUAAAAAAUACCAGAAUGAAUCCUGGACUGCUUUCUUGACAUGUUUUAAAACUGGAUGGGAUGAACAUGCACCACUGUCAGAGCUGUUACGGAAAAUUAAUCAACACCUUCUGACCAAUCAGACCAGAGAACUGUAUUGGAUUUGUUGCUUUAUUUUAUUGAAAAUGGAAAGAAUCACAGACAGGUCCGGUUCACAGAGACAGAUUUAUCAUCAUUAUUCACACAGACAAUAUAUGACAUUAAAAGAGAUGUUUUUUGGAGGAAAAAGUCAGUUGUAGGUUUACAGUGAUUUUCACAAACACAUAUUUAAGACACUGUAGAGAAAAACAAACUGAACAAUGUGAACAUGUUAAGUUUAAUUCACACAAUAUAUUUAUGUGAAGUGUGUGGGUUAGAUGCACAUUUCAGAAACUCUUCUCUGCUCUGUGGUUCUGGUCCUGAAAUGAUCUGAACUGCUGCAGCUGUGGAGAGAAAAAUAGAAACAUGAAAACACCAUCCUUCCAAGGGCAGACGCAGCUGCUGCAUGUGAGAGGAUUCACUCUGUCACAGCAAGGCUGCAGACACAGCACCCUGAGGCAUUUAUCAUCAUUUCUGGGGACUUUAAUCACGCUUCCUUGGACUCUACUUUGGCUGCUUUUUACCAGGCUGUGGAUUGUCCAACUAGGAACAACAGAACCAUUGACUUGCUGUAUGCUAAUGUGAGGGAUGCAUACAGAGUCACACCCAUCCCUCCACGAGGGAAGUCUGACCACAACCUGGUUCUUCUACAGUCAAAGUACACCCCCCUGGUCCAAAGGCAGCCUGCAACAACUAGCUCCAUCAGGAGGUGGUCCCCUGAAAUGGAAGAUGCCCUCAGAGACUGUUAUGACACCAUGGACUGGGAUGUGCUGCUUAGCCCACACUGUGAGGGCAUAGAGGGGCUGACACACUGUCUGAUGGAUUAGCUCUACUUCUAUGCAGACGUGGUCUCCCCCGCUAAGACUGUACGGUGUUACCCUAAUAACAAGCCAAGGGUAACACAGGAAGUCAAAGCUGUCCUCAACAGGAAGAAGGCCGCCUUCAGGAGCAGGGACAGGGAGGCAAUGAAAGCAGCACAGCAGGAGGUGAAACGCUGUGUGAGGGAAGCUAAGGACAGCUACAGGAGAAAGGUGGAGCAGAAGCUGAAGGAGAAGAGCAUGAGGGAGGUCUGGGAAGGUGUGAAAACCAUCACAGGCCACAACACAAAGGCCAGAGUCAUUGAGGGGACAGUGGAGAGGGCGAACGAGCUGAAUGAAUUUUUCAACCGUUUCAACCCCCCACCCUCCCCCUCACUGCAGCCAGCUCUCCUUCUUCCCUCAACACACCUCCCCCCAGUCAUCAUAGCAGCCCCCUCCUCCCCCUCCCCCCACCUCAACACAGACUCUUCCAUGCAUUACUGCAGACAAGGUCAGAGGCCAACUGAAGAAGCUUCACCCCAUAAAGCAGCAGGCCUGGACAAGGUGUGUCCCCGACUACUGAAGACCUGCACUGCUGAGCUGGGUGAACCAGUCCAAUGCAUCUUCAACCUCAGCCUGCUGCUAGGGAGAGUACCCACCCUCUGAAAGACAUCAUGUAUUGUUCCAGUUCCCAAGAAGAACCGACCCAGCGAGCUGAAUGACUUCCGACCAGUGGCACUCACUUCACAUCUGAUGAAGACGUUGGAGCGGCUCUUCCUCAGCCUCCUCAGACCCCAGGUGCAACAUUUCCAGGACUGUCUGCAGUUUGCAUACCGGGCAGGUGUUGGUGUGGAAGACGCCAUCCUCUAUCUGCUACACCCAGCCCACUCGCAUCUGGAUAAGGGAAAUGGCACAGCGAGGAUCCUUUUCUUGGACUUCUCGAGUGCCUUCAACACCAUCCAGACCCUUAUGCUUCAGGACAAACUGAACAGGAUGCGAGUGGACCCCUGCCUGGUCACCUGGAUCUCCAGCUACCUCACCGACAGGCCGCAGUAAUUUUUAAAUUUGGAUUUAAAAAUACAACACACAGAAGAUGGGGACAUCAAAAUAAAAGUACACAGAAAACCCACACAUACCGACCAAUAUUUAAACUGGACUUCCGAACACCCCAUAAUGCACAAAAUAUCCGUAGUUAGAACAUUACAUGAACGCACAGCAAUAAUUACAGAUCCACAGGACAAAGAACAGGAGGAACAACAUAUACAACACGCACUGAAGGCAUGUCAAUAUCCACAAUGGGCAAUAUCCAAAGGGGCGGAACAGGUUAAGAACAACAAAACACAGAAGAAAGAGAAAAAACAAACUAACAAACAAGAACACAGGGGAGUAGUUACAUUACCGUACAUUAGGGGAAUAACUGAACGCAUUCAAAGAGUAAUGAGGAAACACAACAUUAACACACCUGUCAAACCACACACAACACUCCGUCAGAUCCUGGUUCAUCCCAAAGACAGAAUACAUCCGGACAACAGAUGCAACACCAUAUAUGAGAUUCCAUGUCAAUUAUGCAAUAAAACUUAUAUUGGGGAGACAGGAAGGAGUUUCAACACAAGAAAAAAUGAACAUAAGAAAGAGUGCGAAAAGGAGACAGCUACAAGACAAACCCGAACAAUAAAAGAAAAGGCACAACAGGAAAAUUAUGUCAGCUAUAACAGAUCAUUGCAAAAGGGAAAAUCACAUUAUGGACUGGGGGAAUGCCAGAGUCAUCCGCACAGAAGAUAACAAACAUCAGCGCUGGAUCAGGGAGGCCAUGGAGAUCCGUAAGCGAAGCUCGAGGACCAUCAACCGGGAUGAGGGAGCAUACAUGCUCUCCCAUAGCUGGAGUGACAUCUUGCAGGGGACGAACAGACAGUAUAAGGCGUGACCGACCUGUCAAACCAGACAGGAAGGCCACGCCUUCAGAAACAGCAGCUGAUAAAAGAUGCGUCACCAAUAACAUCCGGUGACACUCUGAGGAAGACGGAAGUUGUACGUCGAAACAUGUCAGGAAUGACAGAGUCAUGAAAAAGAGGGGGAGAGUGAAGAGGUGGUCGUCUCCCGACUGGAGAACAUUAUUCCACCCACCUCAGGGACAUAUAACAGUGGUGCCGAAAGCCAGGAAGACUGACGUUAACCACCAGUGGAGUCCUCCCCACUCAAGAAUGUCACCUAUGCCCUUGCUGCCACCCAAGAAAGCCAGUACCAAGCCCUGAUCACCCUCCGCAAGGAGCAAGAGCAGCGCUGAAUCCAAUCACAAUGUUAUGGAAGGACCUGAAGCGAGCAGUUCAUGUGAGGAAACCCACCAACAUCCCAGAGUUGAAGCUGUUCUGUAUGGAGGAACGGGCUAAAAUUCCUCCAAGUCGGUGUGCAGGACUGAUCAACAGUUACCGCAAACGUUUAGUUGCAGUUAUUGCUGCACAAGGGGGUCACACCAGAUACUGAAAGCAAAGGUUCACAUACUUUUGCCACUCACAGAUAUAUAAUAUUGGAUCAUUUUCCUCAAUAAAUAAAUGACCAAGUAUAAUAUUUUUGUCUCAUUUGUUUAACUGGGUUCUCCUUAUCUACUUUUUGGACUUGUGUGAAAAUCUGAUGAUGUUUUAGAUCAUAUUUAUGCAGAAAUACAGAAAAUUCUAAAGGGUUCACAAACUUUCAAGCGCCACUGUAGCUGAAUGAACACUAACCCCACCGCCACGCCCCAAAAUCUAGUGAAAAGCCUUCCGAGAAGGGUGGAGCUCAUUAUAACAGCUUUGUUUGUUUGUUUUGCCAAAAUAUUCUCUGCGUGUGUGAAAUGUUGAAAUGUUGAGUAACUGGUCUGACCAGAUUACGACUCUCACCGAAGAGAGAUUUAACACUGUUAACCAGAACACAUACAAUUUUAAUCAGUUUUUACAGAAUCCUUCUGAUUGAUUUGGAGGUGGAAGAUUUUACAUUGUACAGUGUCUGUGAAUUCUUUUAUCUCCAUUUUAAACCCUGAGGUCACCCAAGAGUGUCCCUUUUGUUCUCCGAGAGAAACUGUUUAUGUCUUUUUACAUUGCUUCGGGUUGCAGUCACUGUUUUAUUGGUUGGGGGACAUUUUAAGAUCAUUUGAUAUGAAUUUUACCUUUCAGCUUUUUAUUUUUGGUUUUAAAUAUGUCCGGAGAAACAAAUCCAUGUGUCAGCUGGUUACUGUUAACCCUGGCCAGGCCAAAAUGGCAAUCUACUGAAGUAGAAAAAACAAAAUGGCACAAAACACAGACUGUGACCCUGAGAGAAUUCUGUCCAGACUAACUAAUUACAGAGUUUUGAUUGAUUUUAAUUUUUUUAAGAGUAUGGGUGAUAUGGAAAUGUUUCAGACAGUGUGGUGUUGUGAGGAGGCUCUGUGCUCGGUAGUGGAAGAAGAACUUUGUUUUACACAAAACCUGCAUUGCAGAAUCACUGCAAUAACUUAACUCACACUGUGCACUGUUAUAUUUAACCGAAUUUAUUUAAAAUGCUUUAUUAAAUAUUUAUUUAUUAAUUCACAUACAUUUUAUUAUGUAAUGCUACUUUUGUA
Long non-coding RNA from Neoarius graeffei (lesser salmon catfish), 6780 nucleotides. RefSeq lists it as uncharacterized. The record is from RefSeq and is a predicted model, not a curated record. The transcript has 7 exons. NCBI's taxonomy places the organism in Eukaryota, Metazoa, Chordata, Actinopteri, Siluriformes, Ariidae.